RNAcentral lists this ribosomal RNA (693 nucleotides) under Calidifontibacter sp. Its description in RNAcentral is "bacterial SSU rRNA". It matches the Rfam family "Bacterial small subunit ribosomal RNA", at positions 19 to 722 of the family's 1533-position model. The record is from RNAcentral. Lineage: Bacteria; Bacillati; Actinomycetota; Actinomycetes; Micrococcales; Dermacoccaceae.
CUGGCUCAGGACGAACGCUGGCGGCGUGCUUAACACAUGCAAGUCGAACGAUGAAGCUCCAGCUUGCUGGGGUGGAUUAGUGGCGAACGGGUGAGUAACACGUGAGUAACCUGCCCUUCACUCUGGGAUAAGCCUUGGAAACGAGGUCUAAUACUGGAUAUUCAUACAUGGUCGCAUGGUUGUGUGUGGAAAGAUUUUUUGGUGGGGGAUGGACUCGCGGCCUAUCAGCUUGUUGGUGAGGUAGUGGCUCACCAAGGCUUUGACGGGUAGCCGGCCUGAGAGGGUGACCGGCCACACUGGGACUGAGACACGGCCCAGACUCCUACGGGAGGCAGCAGUGGGGAAUAUUGCACAAUGGGCGAAAGCCUGAUGCAGCGACGCCGCGUGAGGGAUGACGGCCUUCGGGUUGUAAACCUCUUUCAGUAGGGACGAAGCGAAAGUGACGGUACCUGCAGAAGAAGCACCGGCUAACUACGUGCCAGCAGCCGCGGUAAUACGUAGGGUGCGAGCGUUGUCCGGAAUUAUUGGGCGUAAAGAGCUUGUAGGCGGUUUGUCGCGUCUGCUGUGAAAGACCGGGGCUUAACUCCGGUUCUGCAGUGGGUACGGGCAGGCUAGAGUAUGGUAGGGGAGACUGGAAUUCCUGGUGUAGCGGUGAAAUGCGCAGAUAUCAGGAGGAACACCGAUGGCGAAGGC